GUGCCAGCCGCCGCGGUAAUACGGAGGGUGCAAGCGUUGUCCGGAAUCACUGGGCGUAAAGGGUGCGCAGGCGGGGCAGCAAGUCGGAGGUGAAAGCCCGUGGCUCAACCACGGAAGUGCCUUCGAAACUGUUGCUCUUGAGUCCCGGAGAGGUUGCCGGAAUUCGUGGUGUAGCGGUGAAAUGCGUAGAUAUCACGAGGAACACCAGAGGCGAAAGCGGACAGCUGGACGGGUACUGACACUCAGGCACGAAAGCGUGGGGAGCAAACAGGAUUAGAAACCCCUGUAGUCC
RNAcentral lists this ribosomal RNA (292 nucleotides) under uncultured bacterium. RNAcentral's name for it is "partial 16S ribosomal RNA". It matches the Rfam family "Bacterial small subunit ribosomal RNA", at positions 505 to 796 of the family's 1533-position model. The record is from RNAcentral.